Molecule: long non-coding RNA, 3183 nt
Filed under: Homo sapiens (human)
Lineage: Eukaryota; Metazoa; Chordata; Mammalia; Primates; Hominidae
Description: HSALNT0058142
Source: RNAcentral
CUUUCUCUGUUGCUGAGGCUGAAGUGCAGUGGCGUGAUCUCAGCUCACUGCAACCUCUGCCUCCCGGGUUCAAGCAAUUCUCCUGCCUCAGCCUCCAGAGUAGAUGGGAUUACAGGUGCACGCCACCAUGCCCAGCUAAUUUUUUGUAUUUUUAGUAGAGACGGGGUUUCACCAUGCUGGCCAGGGAGCUCUUUUUACAGACAUCAUACGUAGAGCACACACAGACAAGCAGAAGAAAAGUCAGUCGCUGGAUGGGGCCCUUUAAGAGAUAGGGCCACAUGCAGAUAUCAAACCAGAAAGAACCAUUCCCUAAGGCAGGGUUGCUAAACAAAACCAAAAAAACUUUAAAGGUUAAUUUGUUGAUGGGGUAGAGUAGGGGAAAGAAAAGAAACAGUUUAAAAAUAUCUGGGGAAGAACCUCUUAUUCUUAGGCAAGUGGUUCCUCCGCUGGGGAGAAAAGUUUAAUUACUGUCCCGUGGAGUUGAAACCGUUUGGCUGGGGAAGGGGAAAGCUGCUGCAGCAUGGCUGGGAACCAGCCUGCUGGCUGUGUGGGACCCUUGGGCACCGCGUCCCAGCCCCAGCAUGGAGGUGGGAGGGGCUGAGAGCUGUUGCUCCUUGGUUCUUCCUGAGAAAGGAAGGAAAAGGCCAUGAAAAGGCCCCCAACCCCCAGGAGUGGAGAGGGAUGGGGGUUCAAACCCCAGAAGCGACAAGGAGUGGGGGUGCAGUUUCUUGUAAGUUCAGACGUCUGAGGUUGAAAAGGCUUAGAAAUCACAGUGAGAGGUUUUGAGUUCCCAUUUCACUCACCACUUCUGGAGCCCCUCAUUUGCGGCAAAAACGUUGCAUAACUUUUCCUUAGUUCAGGUAAAAAUGUGGGGGCUCUUGUCUGUCCAACAGCCAUGAAAAUUUAGGCUCACAGACAGUUUAAAGGGUGAGUAAAGCAGGGUUUUAUUGGGUGAAAAGGGCCGGGGGGCGGGUGGGGAAAGGACACGGAUCCUCCACACGGCCAGAGUACCCUGCUAGAGCACUUCCCACCUGGCUAUUUGAAUCUCAGGUUCCGCACAGGAAGAGGAGGGGCUGGGCUCCUCCGCAUUGCAAAGGGUGCAAACUUUCUGAGGUUCCAGUCCAGUGGGCAGGCUGGUUAGAGUUCCUCUAGGGGCCCCCUCCCACCUGGCUGUCUCACUUACAACUUCCCUGUUCUGUAUGAUGUUGUCUAUGAGUUUGUCAUACAUGACUUGUAUUAUUUUGAGGCUCAGAAGUACAUAUUCAGGUUUGUUGUACAGCUCCCAGACUUCAUCCUGCUUCAGCUCCUGUCAUCCUGUGCUGUGGAAUUCCUAAACCUCUUAGCUUGAGCCCUGCAACGAUCUGAUUUUCACUCCGUUCUAGGAAGGUUCCAUUCUUCAGUGUGGAGCACAUAUAAAUUGGAAAAGCAUUGGAAAAUUUGUCCAAAGUCACUCAACAGAUUCAUGAUGGAUCCUGGAUUCACAGCCAGCUUUACUUGGCAAUAAAAUUCAAGUCCUGUUCACAUCACAACACAUUUUUACCGAAAGAAAAAUAUGAUGUGUAGAUGUUUGGAGGCAUCCUAUCUUAAUGAGGCUUUUGUUAGAAAGAGUUUUCUUAAAAUUACAGGGUUGGGGAAAUAAAAAAUGUUUGUUGCUCAGAUUAACAAAAAAAUGGUAUAUAGAAAAUAAAGCUAAGAAAGGAAAGUGCAGACAACCAAGAGACUAGAAUUUUCAAUAAAUGGCAAAAUUGUGGUGUUCUGUGGUUACCUCUUGAAGAUUUGGCCUGAAUCAUGCAACAAUUGCCCCUUACCCUCAGUCCUCAAAUUACAAUAGUGAAAGAGGUUUCUAUAGGUAUUAUAUUUGAAUCUGCUAUAUUUUGUUUAUUACUUGCAAGGACAUAUAGGAGAGCAAAAGUUUUCCCUCUAAUUUCUUAGGUUUAGUAACUGGAACUUGUGAAUUAAACUGGCAAAAUACAGAUUAACAGGAGAAGAGUCAUAGACAUUUUAUUUUAAAUUUCAUAUGCAAUGUAGUUCCAGAGAAAAGAAGUGAAAGCCUGAAGAAGCAAUUAGACUUGAGGAGUUAUAUCUUUAACAAAGGGUGGUGAGUGUAGAGAAGUGACUAGAUUUUUUUUAAGAUGGUUUUAGGCUUCCAAGGGUGAUAAACCAUGGGAAGGAAAAUACAUGAGGGAAACUAAUGGUAUAUAGGAGUUAUUUAGUAAGGUUUGUUUACACAGACUAAUCUCAGUGGUAAGAACGGUUUUUCUCCUUUUUCUGGUCAGGGGAAGGAGAAGGGACACCAUCACAAUGGGAAUUUGUGCUUUGCUGGUAGACAAAUAGGAGCAGAGCAGAGAACUUCUUUCUCUCAAUUGUCUUCAGCUCAGAAUAAUCCUUAUGCCAAACAGGCAUAAUUUGGAAUUACAUAUUUUCAUCCUCUCCACACACAAGCUUCCGUAUAAAGUUCAAAGACAGUAGUAUUUUCUUAUAAUUCACUCUGCCCCAAAUAUUAACUAAGAUGACAUUCUUUUUCCAGCUUGAUUCUGCAACAUUCACUUCCAGAAACUUUAUCACUCUUAAUCCUGGAUUGAAGGAAAAUAUUUGAAUGUGAUAAAGGAUAUAUAUUUUAAAAAGAAAGGAACUAUAAUAAAAGGCAAGAUUCAGAAAUUAUGUUGUAAUCUGUGACUUAGUGCAAUUUAGUCCUUGAAUUUCUUGUGUGCAAUUUAUUGAAGCUAUCUUAUUAUAUGUUAAUUCUGUGUCUUCUUUGCCCUCUCUUUUUGUAAAAAUUUUCUUUUUCUGAAUUUUUUUCCAGAGUCAAUCAUUGAUCUUCUUGAUAACAUUCAUUUCCCUUGGUGAACUAACUUUGGUUCAUCGCUUUAUCAUUCUUCUCCAGGCUGUUUUUGAAGGGUCUGUGAGCUGAGAAUGGUUUUUAAUAGAUAAAUGCUCACAAUCAAUUUGGGGAUAAGAAAUAUUAUUUUGAAUCUCAGUUACAAAAAAUGUUAUCCUUCAUAAAAUAAUUCAUUUUUUUCUCAGUAAUAAAAAUGUAUUUCAAAAAUAUGGUGUCCUUAUUAUAUUUUAAAUUUUGCCAAUAAAAAUAAUAAAAAUUGAUUUUCUCUAAUUAUGUAAGUACCUAGAUGAUUUUUAAAAUUUUGUCUCUUGACUUAUACAAAGCCUAAAAUAUUUAUAACUGCC